This is a long non-coding RNA of Zalophus californianus (California sea lion), 566 nucleotides long. RefSeq lists it as uncharacterized. NCBI's taxonomy places the organism in Eukaryota, Metazoa, Chordata, Mammalia, Carnivora, Otariidae. The transcript is spliced from 4 exons. The record is from RefSeq and is a predicted model, not a curated record.
GUGCGUGUUCAGCUGGGUGCCUGGAACGUACAGGCUGCACAUUACAUAGCAAAUGGCUUAUACGACUCUUACCACGGAGAUCAGGCCUGUGUCAGUGUCCUGGGGCUGCCAUCACAAGUUACAGCAACCUGUACGGCUUACAACAACAGAAAUUGAUUAUCUCACAGUGCUGGAGGCUACAAGUCUGAAAUCAAGGGCCGAGGUUUCAAUUUCUGCGGAAGGUGGUGGAAUAUCUACUCUGUGCACCAGGUCCUACAUUUUAACUCUUGAGAUGCAGGUGUCUGCCGCUGAAACCAGCCUGAGUGUCCAUUCAUGGAACUGACCGCUUAGCCAGUGGGAUUCCAAGAUAACCCUGCACUCAAGGGAAGAAAGACACACAACAGGGCACUAAAGGGAAAGAGCCAGGUUGCUCCCGUUUCCUAGGGAAUUUGGGGAAAUCUACCCAGGGUUGAAGAUUAACCCGAAAGCUCUUUGUUAUCAAGAGAAGGCUUUUAAUAUAGGCAGUACUGAAGGAGGGGGAAACAAUGUUUUCCAAAAUGGAAGAAAUCUGAGGGAUUUUCAAGCAG